UACCCGUCUUGAAACACGGACCAAGGAGUCUAACAUGCGCGCGAGUCGUUGGGUCGGACACGCUCCGCUAAACCCAUAGGCGCAAUGAAAGUGAAGGCCACCUCGACGGGGCCGAGGGAGGACGGGGCGGGUCCCCUCGCGGGGACGGCUCCCGCACUCCCGGGGCGUCNGAUUCCUCAUCGCGAGGGAAGGCGCACCCAGAGCGCACACGUUGGGACCCGAAAGAUGGUGAACUAU
This 237-nucleotide ribosomal RNA is filed under the name Taeniogaster obliqua. Its description in RNAcentral is "partial 28S ribosomal RNA". It matches the Rfam family "Eukaryotic large subunit ribosomal RNA", at positions 646 to 834 of the family's 3401-position model. Lineage: Eukaryota; Metazoa; Arthropoda; Insecta; Odonata; Cordulegastridae. The record is from RNAcentral.